GGCAUGGGACAUCUGGGUGACAUGGGGACAGCUGGGUGACAUAGGAGAGCUGGGUGACGUGGGACAGCUAAGUGACAGAGGGAGCACCUGGGUGACAUGGGGGACAGCUGGGUGACAUCUGGGUGACAUGGGGACAGCUGGGUGAUGGGAGCACCUGAGUGACAUCUGGGUGACACGGGACAGCUGGGUGACAAAAGGCCCCUGGGUGAUGGGAGCACCUGGGUGACAUCUGGGUGACAAAAGGCCCGUGGGUGACCCACUGGGGACAUGGACCCCGCUGUGGGGUGCCGCACGCAGUCACGGUGUCCCCACCCCACAUCGUCACCCACGUGCGGCCGUCACCGACGGUCCCCUGGGCUCGGGGGGGGGCGGCGCGUGGGGUGGGGGUCGGUGGGUGUCACCGGAGGGGGGGGGGGGACACCUCACUGUCCCAUGGGGUCACACGUGUGGGGCGUCCCUCACAUGUGGGGCUGGGAAUGACCGCGUCCCCCCCGUGCUGUCACCGUCCCCACACACAAUAAAAGCCGUCCCUUCACCGCCCCCGAGGAGACGGGCUCACGUUUGGAGCUUCAUGCCUUUAUUGGGGGUCCCCUCGCUGGGGGUCCCAACGUUGGGGGUCCCCACGUUGGGGGUCCCACUGCUGUCACUCUGCAGCCACGGCCGCCUCCCGCUCCCGGAUCCGCCUCUGACGCUGCAGCAGCCGCCGCUCGCGCUCAAACUCCUUCAUGCGCAUCACAUAAUCGUCGUGCUGGCAGCGGUCCCAGCGGUGCCGCAGGUGGUGGCAGUGCCAUAGGCUGGGGAAGGCGUCGCGGCGGCAGCGCAUGAGGCGCAGGAGGUGGUGGGCGCAGAAGUCGCGCUGAGCCAACGGGACGCGGCCCUCCGACAGCUGCUGCGCCGUCGCCACCAUGGUGCGCGGCUCCCUGCCGGGCAGCCCCAGAUCGGCGGGGAAUGUGGGCAUCGCCAACGGGUCCGGCUCCGUGUCCGCCCCCCCGGCAUAGCGCCGCGCCAGGUGAGCUCCCAUAGCAGCGGCGGUCACCGGGGCACCGCGCCGGAACCGGAAGUGAUGUGAGCUGCGGGAACCGGAAGUGAGCGGGGCUCUGCUGCGUAGGGACAGGAAGUGCGCGUAUCAUAGAGUGGGAGCGCGCAGAGCGGCGCUCUGCUCGUAGUGCGCCCCUCUCCGCGAGGUCCUCCAGAGCGG
Molecule: long non-coding RNA, 1198 nt
Filed under: Gallus gallus (chicken)
Lineage: Eukaryota; Metazoa; Chordata; Aves; Galliformes; Phasianidae
Source: RNAcentral